AGGAGACAUGCUCAUUCUGCUCUACAGAAAAGAGUCCAAAACCAGAGGCAGAAACAGUUGAGAUGGAGACUGCAGAGGCAGUUGAAGUAGCAAAAACAAAGGUGGAGGUUGUUGCAGAUACAUCAGGUGCAGAGGAAGAGGAGAAGGAGGAGGCAUCGGAAAAAAAGGAUGGAUUCUAUGUGGAUAGCCUGUUGAAGGUGGCGUCUUCAAAGAAAGCUAAAAGAGGAGUGCCAAGGUCUUGCUAAAGACCUAGGAUAUUUGACCAAGGAAAUACCCUUCAAAAUCAUAGGCAAGCAGCUGGCCGAGCGAGGCUGCAGAAGAGAGGAUCAUGACUUGAGUGCUGAACUCGAUAUAAUCGAACAAGUGUUGGGUGACAACAUGGACAUGUAUUCAAAGGUCACACACACACUUGGACCCCAAGUAUGCCAGGUUGUGUUUCAGAUCAUCAGAGAGUGCCUUGUUGCAAAAGCAAGGGCUCUAGAAAAUUGAAUUUUGACACUAUUUCUGACACAAUUACACUGCAGUUAACUGUUCACUGUACUGUACAUUGUUAAAUCAAUGCAAAAAUGCAAUUAAACAAUCUUUUUUGGUUAAAUCUGUUUAUUAUUAUUAUUUAGCGCUUGUAUCUUCUUGUUUUGCGCUUUUUGUAAAGCUCUCGUUUGGCUUGCUCUAUCCGCUGGCGAUAAGCAUGGAGUGCAUGUAUU
Carassius gibelio (silver crucian carp) is the source of this 704-nucleotide long non-coding RNA. RefSeq lists it as uncharacterized. The transcript is spliced from 7 exons. The record is from RefSeq and is a predicted model, not a curated record. Lineage: Eukaryota; Metazoa; Chordata; Actinopteri; Cypriniformes; Cyprinidae.